UACGUAGGGGGCGAGCGUUGUCCGGAAUUACUGGGCGUAAAGGGUGCGUAGGCGGCGAUGCAAGUCCAUUGUGAAAAGCCCGGGCUUAACCUGGGAGGUGCAGUGGAAACUGUAUGGCUUGAGUGCAGGAGAGGAAAGUGGAAUUCCUAGUGUAGCGGUGAAAUGCGUAGAUAUUAGGAGGAACACCAGUGGCGAAGGCGACUUUCUGGACUGUAACUGACGCUGAGGCACGAAAGCGUGGGGAGCAAACAGG
This 253-nucleotide ribosomal RNA is filed under the name uncultured bacterium. Its description in RNAcentral is "partial 16S ribosomal RNA". It matches the Rfam family "Bacterial small subunit ribosomal RNA", at positions 524 to 776 of the family's 1533-position model. The record is from RNAcentral.